AUACGGAGGAUGCGAGCGUUAUCCGGAUUUGUUGGGUUUAAAGGGAGCGUAGGUGGGAUAUUAAGUCAGCUGUGAAAGUUUGGGGCUCAACCUUAAAAUUGCAGUUGAUACUGGUUUCCUUGAGUACGGUACAGGUGGGCGGAAUUCGUGGUGUAGCGGUGAAAUGCUUAGAUAUCACGAAGAACUCCGAUCGCGAAGGCAGCUCACCGGGCCGGAACUGACACUGAUGCUCGAAAGUGCGGGUAUCAAACAGGAUUAGAUACCCUGGUAGUCCGCACAGUAAACGAUGAAUACUCGCUGUUUGCGAUACACGGUAAGCGGCCAAGCGAAAGCGUUAAGUAUUCCACCUGGGGAGUACGCCGGCAACGGUGAAACUCAAAUGAAUUGACGGGG
This 393-nucleotide ribosomal RNA is filed under the name uncultured bacterium. RNAcentral's name for it is "partial 16S ribosomal RNA". It matches the Rfam family "Bacterial small subunit ribosomal RNA", at positions 523 to 918 of the family's 1533-position model. The record is from RNAcentral.